RNAcentral lists this ribosomal RNA (294 nucleotides) under uncultured bacterium. RNAcentral's name for it is "partial 16S ribosomal RNA". It matches the Rfam family "Bacterial small subunit ribosomal RNA", at positions 775 to 1067 of the family's 1533-position model. The record is from RNAcentral.
GGAUUAGAUACCCUGGUAGUCCACGCCGUAAACGAUGAACACUUGGUGUAGGAGGUAUUGACCCCUCCUGUGCCGAAGCUAACGCAUUAAGUGUUCCGCCUGGGGAGUACGGUCGCAAGAUUAAAACUCAAAGAAAUUGACGGGGGCCCGCACAAGCGGUGGAGUAUGUGGUUUAAUUCGAUGCAACGCGAAAAACCUUACCUGGGUUUGGCAUCCUGUGAACGCUGUAGAGAUACAGAAGGCCCGAAAGGGACACAGAGACAGGUGCUGCAUGGCUGUCGUCAGCUCGUGCCG